Molecule: long non-coding RNA, 1306 nt
Filed under: Homo sapiens (human)
Lineage: Eukaryota; Metazoa; Chordata; Mammalia; Primates; Hominidae
Description: non-protein coding RAMP2-AS1:18
Source: RNAcentral
ACCCUCUCGUAGCUCACCCCGCGAGGCUGGACAGCUCCCGGAACCCCGGAACCGGGAUCUAUUUCGGGGGCUCGGCUGCGUGGCGCCCAGGACUCUCCAGGGUCUCCCAGGAUCGCUCCCCGAAUUCGAGUCGCCCCCUCUCUCUUUCGGGAAUACCAGCUGAUGUCAGUCCGCCAGCCAAAACCAGGGAGGAGAAGCGGGAGCCAGCCCUCUGGAGUCGGGAGAAGGUCUGGGGAGUGGGGUAGAGGGGAAAGCAAAGUCCAAAUACCUUCCCUUCAGACACCUCCUGGGGCCUAGACCCCACAAACCUGUUGUGGGGAGGGCAAAAUACGAUGACUACGUUCCCAGGAAGAAGGUGCCACAGCUCUUCAGGACCACGGUUGGGAGAAAGAAUGGAGGGGUUUUAGAACCUUCAGUGUGCGACUUCAUGUGCCAGUCUUCAUCUCAGGAUCUCAAGCUCUUGGAUCAUGGGCACGGAUAACCUGUUGUCCUCCUCUAUGGUCAAGAGGCUGCUUUUGCAAAGAAUCCAGUGGGAGAGAGUCAAUGGCCUGCUUGACGUGAACUCCAAAGUCCUCCUGGAACAGGGGCUCACUCUGUUGCCCACAUUGGAGUGCGGUGGAAGAAUCAUGGCAUGCUGCAGUCUUGAGCUUCUAGGCUCAAGAGAUCCUCCUGGUUCAGUCUCCCAAGUAGCUAGGACAGCAGGCAUAUUUUUUGUAGAUAUGGGGGUCUUGCUUUUUUGCCGAGGCUGGUCUCGAACUCCUGGCUUCAAGCAAUCUUCCUGCAUCAGUCUCUUAAAGUGUUGGGAUUCCAGGCAUGAACCACUGCACCUGGCCCUUGGGAAGUUUUAUUUUUAGCCUAGGGUUGGGGUUAAGUUUGCAUCAUGAUGUUGAGACCUCCAAAGGAGAACUUAUUGUAGUCAUUCCUGAGCUCAGGUGUCCAAACUGUCUAAUUGGAGAAUCUGGGAAUUUUCUCUCGUUUUGAUUUUCCUCUUCCACUUUUCCAUGCCAGUUGGAUGUUUGAAUGUUUUUAUCGACCUCUGAGAGCAUCCGGGUAACUGAGGGUUUACUUUGGGGGUCUUUGGAGAUGAAUAGGGACAGGAGACCUCACCUUUCUUUUCCAUGUAGCCAUAGGAGAUAGUCCCACGAUCUGAUGAUCUGUAGCAAUGGGUAGAGGAAGGGCCGUAUUAGGAACAGAAGCUAGUUUCGUCAUGGGAAGUCCCCUGUUUUCCACUCCUGAGGGCCCUCACAUUCCCUUUCUAAGCCCCUUUCUGCUUUUGCUAUUAAAAAAUACAGUUUUUAAAUUGCAA